Long non-coding RNA from Capsicum annuum, 545 nucleotides. RefSeq lists it as uncharacterized. NCBI's taxonomy places the organism in Eukaryota, Viridiplantae, Streptophyta, Magnoliopsida, Solanales, Solanaceae. The transcript has 3 exons. The record is from RefSeq and is a predicted model, not a curated record.
CUUCGUCCAUAUAAAAAUAAACACUAGGGUUUCCUAAAUCAAUUUCUUCUUUCCAAUUCUGCCUGAAGCUCUCAUCUUCGGGUGAUUUUUAAUGGCUUCUCCUCUGCUGAAUCAUCCAUUUCUGGAGCAUUCUAUGUGGAUUAUCAAUUAUUGCCUGGCCCUCUCUGUUGCAUCUUGAUUCCCAGAUAUCAACAGAUUCAGGGAGUUGUUUGUUGCAGAUUUUCUAAGUCCUGCUUGUAUGCCCAAGUGUAGAUUAGGGUGAAAUAAAUGACUGAUCUAGCCCAUAAAUACUUGUCCCUGAAAUUGACUCCCAGGUGUACUAAUAGUAUAGAAAACCAGUGAUCCCCCUUUAUUGCUAACAUUACAUGCUGUAUUCUGAAGUUGUAAAUAUGAGAUAGUACUUUCUUAAUUUUUGUGAAUCUCCCCUAUCUUUCUUUUCUCGAUGUAACUCUAAUAUAAGGACACUACAUCUUGUCACUAUUUAAAAUUCUCCUUGCUUUGCUAUCGAGCUGUUGAAAUGAAUUAACUUCGAAAUUUCCUUUAUC